Molecule: transfer RNA, 74 nt
Filed under: Candidatus Omnitrophota bacterium
Lineage: Bacteria; Pseudomonadati; Candidatus Omnitrophota
Description: Candidatus Omnitrophica bacterium tRNA-Val
Rfam family: tRNA
About the family: Transfer RNA (tRNA) molecules are approximately 80 nucleotides in length. Their secondary structure includes four short double-helical elements and three loops (D, anti-codon, and T loops).
Source: RNAcentral
GGGCGGUUAGUUCAGUUGGUUAGAACGCCUGAUUUACAUUCAGGAGGUCACAGGUUCAAGUCCUGUAUCGCCCA